AAGUCGUAACAAGGUAACCGUAGGUGAACCUGCGGUUGGAUCAUUACUAAAUUACUUUGACCUGAGGUUGAGUUCAAAAUUCUUUUGAAAUCCCUCAGUGUCAUAAACAUUUUGUGCAUCUAUUGUGUAUUUGGGUUAUUUCUUUUUCGAAAGGAUUAACCCAACAAUGAAUAUAAACCAUUAUUCUUUUUUUUUGACUGAAAUAAAUUGAAAAAUUUAUAAACAACUUUUGACAACGGAUCUCUUGGCUCUC
This 253-nucleotide unclassified non-coding RNA is filed under the name fungal sp. Its description in RNAcentral is "partial internal transcribed spacer region". The stretch from base 1 to 46 matches the Rfam family "Eukaryotic small subunit ribosomal RNA", at positions 1786 to 1831 of the family's 1831-position model. The record is from RNAcentral. Lineage: Eukaryota; Fungi.